Xiphophorus maculatus (southern platyfish) is the source of this 1597-nucleotide long non-coding RNA. RefSeq lists it as uncharacterized. The record is from RefSeq and is a predicted model, not a curated record. Lineage: Eukaryota; Metazoa; Chordata; Actinopteri; Cyprinodontiformes; Poeciliidae. The transcript is spliced from 5 exons.
CACAGACACGCCGUUACAGCUUCCUGUUGGGCCGCGCUCCGGCAGGAUGAGCGCUGACGGCAGCGCCGGUCCCAUCCUGGCUUCAGAUCAAACACGAGUCACACACACAACGCUCUUCAUCACAACGAGGAUCUGCCACGUUUUCACACAACUCUGCAAAAAACUGCAUGAGGAUUGGAAAGGUUGUUUAAAGUGACAAGCUGACACCAACGCAGGAGAAAGGCUUUCCUUCAGGAAGGAGAUUUGAUUAAAGAGGAAGAGGAGACAAAAGGAAGGAGGUGCAAAGAGUGGCCGACGCCGCGGACAGGUUGCUGCAUUCAGGUAGCGCCGGUCGCCAUGACGCUGAUGUUGGAGACAGUCGAGGCGGCGGCGGCAACGACUCGCUGUGCCUCAAAGUGACAAGUUAUUAUAGAAAGAGACGAGUCGGAGAGACAAACGUCGUCUAUCAGCUGGAAGACUGGCACCAACAUGGCAUAACAUUAUGACCACUUUGCUCUUCUUCAUGGCUCCAGGACGGGCAGGGAGUGUCAGAGGAAAUUUGAGGAUUUAGACCACUCGUCCGCUCCGCCAUCUGUUUGGCUGCCCGACCAGCUGCUCGCGCUCCGCCGACCCGGCAUCGGCCCCGCCGUGCCGCUGACCCACCGUAAACUGCGCGCGGCGGCAGACGGAGCACGCUCCCGACCCACGCCGGUUCUGACCCCGGAUUUGUCGCAGGAGAGAAUGCAGAGUUACUGAGACUGCAGCUGCAUACUGAUGGUGUUUCUGUGAGAGGAAGUGACUAAUGAAGCGGCAGGCACCGGGUCGAGCUCAGAGUCUGGAAACAUCAGCUGCUGAGGCACCGAGGAGACGCAUAACUGAUUCCCAUCAUCAUCAUCAUCAUCAGAGUGUUGAGCUGCCCUGCUAAUCUGGUAACCUGGGGAAACAUCUUCACCACGCCUUCUCGUUCGGAUCCGUCAGCAGGUUUUAUGAUUCUCCAUGUGAAAUGGGUUUGAAAUGUUCACUUAUUCACAAACACAGACACUGAAGAGGUUGGAUUCUGCAUCUUGAAUGUUGUGGCUCUUCAUGAUUAUGCUAUUCCCAGGUUCCAGCUGCAUAAUGGAACAGGAACACAACCCCAAAAUGAUGGACAACAUGUUUUUGCUUCUAUCACAGAGAAAAAGCUUGUGAAUAACAAUCAUUUUCCUCCGGUAAAACCGAGGCUACUUUUCCUUUGUACUGUGACCUCUCACACAUUUCUACACGGCUGAUGGAAAUGUAUUACACCAGCCAGCAAAGGGAAAUAAGACACAAAAUAUCUCCCAUAAGUCAUUCACAUCCUAUUUUAUCAUCUUAAUUCUGAUAUUUGCAUAUUGAGGUCCACUAUCUUAGCAUUAGCAAGGACAGUAAUGUUAGCAUAACAUUAUAGAUGGCGCUAGAAAGUUAGCUUACACCAACACAUUGUCUGCAUUCUUUACAAUCUCUGUUCCCAGUGCAAAAAGGCCCAACUAAAGCAUUUUAAUGCAUUUUUAAAUUAAGUAUCCUGAAAAAUGAAUGUGAUUUGGUAUUUCCAAAAUAAGGUGGAAAAAAAAUGAAUGCAAGUAAGCGUUAGCAUGCUAUC